This 392-nucleotide ribosomal RNA is filed under the name uncultured bacterium. RNAcentral's name for it is "bacterial SSU rRNA". It matches the Rfam family "Bacterial small subunit ribosomal RNA", at positions 370 to 772 of the family's 1533-position model. The record is from RNAcentral.
AAUGGGCGCAAGCCUGAUGCAGCAACGCCGCGUGAGGGAUGACGGCCUUCGGGUUGUAAACCUCUUUUAGUAGGGAAGAAGCCUUCGGGUGACGGUACCUGCAGAAAAAGCACCGGCUAACUACGUGCCAGCAGCCGCGGUAAUACGUAGGGUGCAAGCGUUGUCCGGAAUUAUUGGGCGUAAAGAGCUCGUAGGCGGCUUGUCGCGUCUGCUGUGAAAACCCGAGGCUCAACCUCGGGCCUGCAGUGGGUACGGGCAAGCUAGAGUGCGGUAGGGGAGAUUGGAAUUCCUGGUGUAGCGGUGGAAUGCGCAGAUAUCAGGAGGAACACCGAUGGCGAAGGCAGAUCUCUGGGCCGUAACUGACGCUGAGGAGCGAAAGCAUGGGGAGCGAA